UGGGGAAUAUUGCACAAUGGGCGAAAGCCUGAUGCAGCAACGCCGCGUGAGGGAUGACGGCCUUCGGGUUGUAAACCUCUUUUAGUAGGGAAGAAGCGAAAGUGACGGUACCUGCAGAAAAAGCACCGGCUAACUACGUGCCAGCAGCCGCGGUAAUACGUAGGGUGCAAGCGUUGUCCGGAAUUAUUGGGCGUAAAGAGCUCGUAGGCGGUUUGUCGCGUCUGGUGUGAAAUCCCGAGGCUCAACCUCGGGUCUGCAGUGGGUACGGGCAGACUAGAGUGUGGUAGGGGAGAUUGGAAUUCCUGGUGUAGCGGUGGAAUGCGCAGAUAUCAGGAGGAACACCGAUGGCGAAGGCAGAUCUCUGGGCCAUUACUGACGCUGAGGAGCGAAAGCAUGGGGAGCGAACA
Molecule: ribosomal RNA, 407 nt
Filed under: uncultured bacterium
Lineage: Bacteria
Description: partial 16S ribosomal RNA
Rfam family: Bacterial small subunit ribosomal RNA
Source: RNAcentral